Molecule: long non-coding RNA, 108 nt
Organism: Etheostoma spectabile (orangethroat darter)
Lineage: Eukaryota; Metazoa; Chordata; Actinopteri; Perciformes; Percidae
Exons: 2
Source: RefSeq, a predicted model, not a curated record
GUGAAGUGUUCAAUUAAUGUUUAUGUUGAAGAAUUUGGUGUAUCUUAAUGUUACAUCUUAUCUUUCAAAUAGAAGUUUAAAAACAAGCACAUAUGGGCCAAAUAUCGG